UACGUAGGGUGCGAGCGUUGUCCGGAAUUACUGGGCGUAAAGAGCUCGUAGGCGGCUCAGGAAGUCGGGUGUGAAAACUCCAGGCUCAACCUGGAGACGCCACCUGAUACUGCUGUGGCUAGAUUCCGGUAGGGGAGCAUGGAAUUCCUGGUGUAGCGGUGAAAUGCGCAGAUAUCAGGAGGAACACCGGUGGCGAAGGCGGGUCUCUGGGCCGAUACUGACGCUGAGGAGCGAAAGCGUGGGGAGCGAACAGG
RNAcentral lists this ribosomal RNA (254 nucleotides) under uncultured bacterium. RNAcentral's name for it is "partial 16S ribosomal RNA". It matches the Rfam family "Bacterial small subunit ribosomal RNA", at positions 524 to 776 of the family's 1533-position model. The record is from RNAcentral.